RNAcentral lists this ribosomal RNA (253 nucleotides) under uncultured bacterium. RNAcentral describes it as "partial 16S ribosomal RNA". It matches the Rfam family "Bacterial small subunit ribosomal RNA", at positions 524 to 776 of the family's 1533-position model. The record is from RNAcentral.
UACGAAGGGGGCUAGCGUUGCUCGGAAUCACUGGGCGUAAAGCGCACGUAGGCGGAUCUUUAAGUCAGGGGUGAAAGCCCGGGGCUCAACCUCGGAACUGCCUUUGAGACUGUGAGACUCGAGACCGAGAGAGGAGAGUGGAAUUCCCAGUGUAGAGGUGAAAUUCGUAGAUAUUGGGAAGAACACCAGUGGCGAAGGCGGCUCUCUGGCUCGGUACUGACGCUGAGGCGCGAAAGCGUGGGGAGCAAACAGG